RNAcentral lists this ribosomal RNA (384 nucleotides) under Hippocampus pontohi. RNAcentral describes it as "partial 12S ribosomal RNA". It matches the Rfam family "Bacterial small subunit ribosomal RNA", at positions 794 to 1383 of the family's 1533-position model. The record is from RNAcentral. Lineage: Eukaryota; Metazoa; Chordata; Actinopteri; Syngnathiformes; Syngnathidae.
GCAUAGCUGUAAACUAAAAUGUUUUUAAUACACUACACUCGCCCGGGUACUACGGGCAUUAGCCUAAAACCCAAAGGACUUGGCGGUGCUUUAUACCCCCCUAGAGGAGCCUGUUCUUUAACUGAUAAUCCCCGUUAAACCUCACCUUGUUUUGCUUAAUCAACCUAUAUACCGCCGUCGUCAGCUUACCUUGUGAAAGAAUAAUAGUGAGCAUAAUUAGUAUAACUUAAAACGUCAGGUCGAGGUGUAGUUUAUAGCAAGGGAAGAAAUGGGCUACAUUCACAUUUUUGUGUAAACGGAUGGUUUAAUGAAACAUAAACCUAAAGGAGGAUUUAGCAGUAAAAAGAAAACAGAGUGUUCUUUUGAAAAAGGCUCUAAAGCGCG